GGAGAGGCAUCAUGCAAGAUCGUUGAAACUGAGUAAUUUGAUUCUGUAUAUAUACUCCUAUUUGUCAUAUCAUUUUUUGAACUCACUAUCUUACCCUUUAUGCUUUACAAACCAGAUUCAUAUAACCAAACGUGUCAUUUUUCCUCUGAACAUGUUUUUCAGAAAGCAUCAGAUUUUUGGUGCAAUGAAUCACUGCUGAAAUGCAUCAGCACUAUUUAUUUGAUGACAUUCCUCUGAACAUGUUUUUCAGGGAGCAUCAGAUAUUUGGUGCAAUGAAUCGCUGAUGACAUCGGAAUGACGGCACCGGAAAAGUCAGCAUGGCACUGGCAUGACACCGUGCAUGUUUCGUGGAUUUGCAGACAUAAUUAUCACAAUGCAGUGAGAUACUGGUAAAGAGUUGAGCGAGUUUAAAAAUAUCAAUCUCGGCGAUGUAAAACUCUAAUAUUUAACCUUGUAAGUGCAACUGCAUUAACUCAAAAGCUCAGAGACCAUGAUAGAUUUUCAUGACUCCAUUGGAGUGAAUUGUUUGAAAGUCAAAGUGAAUCAUUUGAAAGCCUUUUGGUGGAAGGCAAUAAGAUUGAUGAAUGGUUGUUUCAAACAUUCCCAUGAAGGAUGGUUUUCCCCCUAUUAAGAACUUUAUUUCAUACAAUAUCUUGUCUUUAAUUUUUCUCAUGAGAUUUCUAAUAUAUUUUUAAAACAUUAAAUGUUUUUUAGCAAGUGCUGGUCCAAUGGAUUGUCAUGUGUUGAUUUGGAGG
This 755-nucleotide long non-coding RNA is filed under the name Populus trichocarpa (black cottonwood). RNAcentral's name for it is "long non-coding RNA (PTRI_LNC002505)". The record is from RNAcentral. Lineage: Eukaryota; Viridiplantae; Streptophyta; Magnoliopsida; Malpighiales; Salicaceae.